GAUGAACGCUGGCGGCGUGCCUAAUACAUGCAAGUCGAGCGAACGGACGAGAAGCUUGCUUUUCUGAUGUUAGCGGCGGACGGGUGAGUAACACGUGGAUAACCUACCUAUAAUACUGGGAUAACUUCGUGAAACCGGAGCUAAUACCGGAUAAUAUUUUGAACCGCAUGGUUCAAAAGUGAAAUACGGUCUUUCUGUCUCUUAUAGAUUUAUCCGCGCUGCAUUAGCUAGUUGGUAAGGUAACGGCUUACCAAGGCAACGAUGCAUAGACGAAAUGAGAGGGGGAACGGCAACACUGGAACUGAGACACGGAACAGAGUCCUACGGGAGGCAGCAGAAGGGAAUAGUCCGCAAUGGGCGAAAGCAUGACGGAGCAAAGCCGAGUGAGAGAAGAAGGUCUACGGAUCGUAAAACUCUGUUAUUAGGGAAGAACAUAUGUGUAAGUAACUGUGCACAUAGUGACGGUAACGAAUCAGAAAGCAACGGCUAACUACGUG
This 497-nucleotide ribosomal RNA is filed under the name uncultured bacterium. Its description in RNAcentral is "partial 16S ribosomal RNA". It matches the Rfam family "Bacterial small subunit ribosomal RNA", at positions 28 to 507 of the family's 1533-position model. The record is from RNAcentral.